RNAcentral lists this ribosomal RNA (406 nucleotides) under uncultured bacterium. RNAcentral describes it as "partial 16S ribosomal RNA". It matches the Rfam family "Bacterial small subunit ribosomal RNA", at positions 30 to 526 of the family's 1533-position model. The record is from RNAcentral.
AUUGAACGCUGGCGGCAGGCCUAACACAUGCAAGUCGAACGCGUGGCGGACGGGUGAGUAAUGUCUGGGACACUGCCUGAUGGAGGGGGAUAACUACUGGAAACGGUAGCUAAUACCGCAUACCAUCAGAUGUGCCCAGAUGGGAUUAGCUUGUUGGUGGGGUAACGGCUCACCAAGGCGACGAUCCCUAGCUGGUCUGAGAGGAUGACAAGCCACACUGGAACGGAGACACGGUCCAGACUCCUACGGGAGGCAGCAGAGGGGAAUAGUGCACAAGGGGCGCAAGCCUAAUGCAGCCAUGCCGCGUGUAUGAAGAAGGCCUGCGGGUUGUAAAGUAAUUUCAGCGGGGAGGCGUUACCAGAAGAAGAAGCACCGGCUAACUCCGUGCCAGCAGCCGCGGUAAUUC